UACGUAGGGCGCAAGCGUUGUCCGGAAUUAUUGGGCGUAAAGAGCUCGUAGGCGGUUUGUCGCGUCUGCUGUGAAAACUCGAGGCUCAACCUCGGGCUGGCAGUGGGUACGGGCAGACUAGAGUGCGGUAGGGGUGACUGGAAUUCCUGGUGUAGCGGUGGAAUGCGCAGAUAUCAGGAGGAACACCGAUGGCGAAGGCAGGUCACUGGGCCGCAACUGACGCUGAGGCGCGAAAGCAUGGGGAGCGAACAGG
This 253-nucleotide ribosomal RNA is filed under the name uncultured bacterium. Its description in RNAcentral is "partial 16S ribosomal RNA". It matches the Rfam family "Bacterial small subunit ribosomal RNA", at positions 524 to 776 of the family's 1533-position model. The record is from RNAcentral.